GUCCAUGGUACAGCAUUUUCACUUAUUUGGAAAAAAAAUUGUUACUUCUGAUAAUGUGAAUAUACCUGUUUUCAUUUCUUUGUGAAAUGCAUAUAAAACAAGGACUAUCUUUCAUUCAAUUACCUUCAAUUGCACUCUACCAUUUCAUUCAGUAACCUUCGUUUAGAAAUUUACAUAAGCAAGUUUCUAUACUUUCUCCUUCGCCGUGCAAAUAAAAUGUGUUUUAAAACUGAUUUUUCAUGUGGUCAUGUGCUGUUAAAUCCGGGAUAUAUCACUUUUUUCAAUUAUUUUAUUUGCUUUUGAUUUAUGGUUA
RNAcentral lists this unclassified non-coding RNA (313 nucleotides) under Hevea brasiliensis (rubber tree). Lineage: Eukaryota; Viridiplantae; Streptophyta; Magnoliopsida; Malpighiales; Euphorbiaceae. The record is from RNAcentral.